CAAAGGCUUGGUCCUGACUUUGCUAUCAACUCUAGCUAGACUUACACAUGCAAGUAUCCGCGCCCCUGUGAGGAUGCCCUAAUAAUCCCCUGCCCGGGGACAAGGAGCGGGUAUCAGGCACAACCCUACUUAGCCCACGACGCCUUGCAUCGCCACACCCCCAAGGGAACUCAGCAGUGAUAAAUAUUAAGCCAUAAGUGAAAACUUGACUUAGUUAAAGCUAACAGAGCCGGUUAAUUUCGUGCCAGCCACCGCGGUUAUACGAGAGGCCCAAGUUGAUAGCCACCGGCGUAAAGCGUGGUUUAAGUAAGACAGUCUAAUAAAGCCGAAGACCCUCAGAGCAGUUAUACGCAUUAGAGAGGCAGGAAGCCCAACAACGAAAGUGGCUUUAAACUUCUUGACCCCACGAAAGCUAUGAUACAAACUGGGAUCAGAUACCCCACUAUGCUUAGCCCUAAACAUUGGCAGCACACCACAUAUGCUGCCCGCCUGGGAAGUAAGAGCACCAGCUUGAAACCCAAAGGACUUGGCGGUGCUUUAGAUCCCCCUAGAGGAGCCUGUUCUAGAACCGAUAAUCCCCGUUCAACCUCACCUUUUCUUGUUCCCCCCGCCUAUAUACCGCCGUCGCAAGCUUACCCCCUGAGGGCUCAAUAGUAAUCAUAAUUGGCACUGCCCAGAACGUCAGGUCGAGGUGUAGCGUAUGGAAAGGGAAGAAAUGGGCUACAUUCCCUAACCAGGGAAUACGAAUGAUGCCCUGAAAAAAUGCAUCUGAAGGAGGAUUUAGUAGUAAGCAGGAAAUAGAGCGUCCUGCUGAAACCGGCCCUGAAGCGCGCACAUACCGCCCGUCACUCUCCCCAAGCACUCGAACUUUUUAGCUAAAACAUCAGACCAGCAAAGGGGAGGCAAGUCGUAACAUGGUAAGUGUACUGGAAGGUGUACUUGGUAAAA
RNAcentral lists this non-coding RNA (948 nucleotides) under Prionotus evolans (striped searobin). RNAcentral's name for it is "12S ribosomal RNA". It matches the Rfam family "Bacterial small subunit ribosomal RNA". The record is from RNAcentral. Lineage: Eukaryota; Metazoa; Chordata; Actinopteri; Perciformes; Triglidae.